Molecule: ribosomal RNA, 365 nt
Filed under: uncultured eukaryote
Lineage: Eukaryota
Description: SSU rRNA
Rfam family: Eukaryotic small subunit ribosomal RNA
Source: RNAcentral
CAAUAGCGUAUAUUAAAGUUGUUGCGGUUAAAAAGCUCGUAGUUGGAUUUCUGCCGAGGACGACCGGUCCGCCCUCUGGGUGAGUAAUCUGGCUUGGCCUGGGCAUCUUCUUGGAGAACGUAGCUUGCACUUGACUGUGUGGUGCGGUAUUCCAGGACUUUUACUUUGAGGAAAUUAGAGUGUUUCAAGCAGGCAUACGCCUUGAAUACAUUAGCAUGGAAUAAUAAGAUAGGACCUCGGUUCUAUUUUUGUUUGGUUUCUAGAGCUAGAGGUAAUGAUUAAUAGGGAUAGUUGGGGGCAUUCGUAUUUAACUGUCAGUAGGUGAAAUUCUUGGAUUUGUUAAAGACGGACUACUGCGAAAGCUA